GACGAACCGUGCGAACGUUGUUCGGAUUCACUGGGCUUAAAGGGCGCGUAGGCGGCUUGCCGAGUCAGGGGUGAAAUCUUUCGGCUCAACCGGAAAACUGCCCCUGAGACCGGCCGGCUGGAGGGGGGUAGGGGCGGACGGAACUUCCGGUGGAGCGGUGAAAUGCGUAGAUAUCGCUUGGAACGCCGAAGGUGAAAACAGGUCGCUGGGGAUGUGCCGACGCUGAGACACGAAAGCCAGGGGAGCAAACGGG
RNAcentral lists this ribosomal RNA (253 nucleotides) under uncultured bacterium. RNAcentral's name for it is "partial 16S ribosomal RNA". It matches the Rfam family "Bacterial small subunit ribosomal RNA", at positions 524 to 776 of the family's 1533-position model. The record is from RNAcentral.